AGCGAACGCUGGCGGCAGGCCUAACACAUGCAAGUCGAACGAACCUUUCGGGGUUAGUGGCGGACGGGUGAGUAACACGUGGGAACGUGCCUUUAGGUUCGGAAUAACUCAGGGAAACUUGUGCUAAUACCGAAUGUGCCCUUCGGGGGAAAGAUUUAUCGCCUUUAGAGCGGCCCGCGUCUGAUUAGCUAGUUGGUUGAGGUAAUGGCUCACCAAGGCGACGAUCAGUAGCUGGUCUGAGAGGAUGAUCCGCCACAUUGGGACCGAGACACGGCCCAAACUCCUACGGGAUGCAGCAGUGGGGAAUCUUGCGCAAUGGGCGAAAGCCUGACGCAGCCAUGCCGCGUGAAUGAUGAAGGUCUUAGGAUUGUAAAAUUCUUUCACCGGGGACGAUAAUGACGGUACCCGGAGAAGAAGCCCCGGCUAACUUCGUG
This 434-nucleotide ribosomal RNA is filed under the name uncultured bacterium. Its description in RNAcentral is "partial 16S ribosomal RNA". It matches the Rfam family "Bacterial small subunit ribosomal RNA", at positions 29 to 507 of the family's 1533-position model. The record is from RNAcentral.